CAAAAGCAUGAGUUGGUGUUUGAUGUAUUGAUAUAUGUUAAAAGUUGUUUUUUUUGGUAAACUUUGGGAUGACUUUUAUUGUGGUCUUUGAUCUGCACCAGGCCUAGACCAUAAAACAUCUAGAUAGCCAUCACCAGAGCUGGACACAAGGAAUAGCAUAGAGUGGGCAUUAAACUGCCAGACCAACCCCCACAAGAAUUCUAUAUGGGGUAAAUGCAUGUAAGGAAUUUCUUGUGUUUUCUCCUAUUUUAUUUUAUGCACUGUUUUGCAAUUUGUUAUCUGUAUGUAAUUUAUUUCUGUAUCUUGUACUCAGC
Pelobates cultripes (western spadefoot toad) is the source of this 314-nucleotide non-coding RNA. The record is from the annotation of a GenBank genome assembly. NCBI's taxonomy places the organism in Eukaryota, Metazoa, Chordata, Amphibia, Anura, Pelobatidae.